Long non-coding RNA from Pieris brassicae (large cabbage white), 1830 nucleotides. RefSeq lists it as uncharacterized. Lineage: Eukaryota; Metazoa; Arthropoda; Insecta; Lepidoptera; Pieridae. The transcript is spliced from 3 exons. The record is from RefSeq and is a predicted model, not a curated record.
AAUGGCGUGUUAUUUACCAAUUUGUAUGAAAAGUUUUAAAAAAUGUAUCUCAUGAACCGUAAGUUUGCGCAACCGAAAACUUUGCAAAACUUUUUUCUUUUAGUGAGUACUAUCUACAAUAAAAAUAUGGGCUUUUAAAUCGACGGUCAAUUUUGGAAAGUUUAGUCCAGUUAAUUACUGUAAUUAAAUUUAAAACAAUGAAUAAAUAUGAAUUAACGAGGCACGGUGAAAUAAGAGCAUGUCCUUACAAUAUUGUGUAAACAAUAUGUCAACACAUAGUAUUAAGAUGAAUCAAGGUAGAAAAUACAUUGCCAUAUAUAUAUACCGAUCCGAGCCUGAGUAGUCAACACAAGUAUCAUGUUCACAACAUUAUCAUACAAUUGGAAAUGUUGGAGGGAUCCCAUACAUCUCCAUGUUCUUAACUACUGUUUGAAACCCAUGUUCUCAUCUUAUUUGCUCAUGUUAUAUAAUAAUGACAAUGCAAAUGAGACAAUCUUUGAAUUCACCACUAUAUUCUAACUGUUAAUUACAUAUUUAUUUAUAUUUCUAAGCCUCUAUCAAUGCAAGUAUCAAAGACAGGAACAAGAAAAUUAUCAACAAAUUUGUGGAAAAUAAAGAGGUUGUUUUUUUAUGUUUGAAUAAUGAGAUUGUAUUUCUAUGAAGAUCUGGCACAAAGUUGGAGAUGUAGAUCUUUGAGAAUUGAGAAGAUCAUUAUGUGAUGUCAGUGGACCAUCUAUAUUGAUUGGGUCUCUGAUGAGGUAGUUGAAAUGCAGAUCAGGACACUUUGACCUCUACAAAAUCCAUAAUGAACAUGCAGAAUGAGAUUAUUGACUUCACCUUGUUUUCAAAUAUCUUUCCAAGACAUGAUGAUAAUGAAAUUGGACAGUAGGAACUAAUCUGUUCAGGUGAUUUAUCUGGAUUCAUUAUAGGGUCGGAGAGUGGUGAAAGAGGAGAGAGGUCAGGGAGGAUAUUUUUAUAAGUUUAAAGCAUUUCUAACAUUGUCGGAGAGGGGAAACAUACCCUGAAACACUGUAUGAAAGUAAAUCAUAUUCAACACUUUCAGGUAAAGAAUUUGCCAGAAACGUGAUGGACAGUUGUGUUUUUUUCAUAAAUCUGCCUUCACACAAAAAGUGCAUUAAGAAACGCUCAACUGCCAUUCUUUAUUUUUAGAAGUCAACUGUUUGUAGUUCUUUAUUUAAGAAAUUUGCACCACCCAACCCCACAACCCCACCUUUAAAUGUAAAUAUAUGGUUAAAAUGCGACCUCGAUUACCGUGAUUAUCUAGGCUGUUUUUAAUCUUUUUGUUUUCAAUGAAAACCUUGAAUUCAGUAUUAUAAGCAUUUUUUGGCUAAUGUCUCUGUGAUUAGGCGUGUGACGUGGAAUUCUCACCGCCUCCACCGCCAGCAUCGGAAAUACUGGAGAUCUUCGAACCGCCGCCGCGACCUCACUUCAGAAGCCCCCUCUCGAUUCUUAAAAAGAUUCCCUUAGAAGGAACCCUUUCGAGCAGGGAAUCUAGACGUCUGGAUGUGCUCGAUGAGUCCUUCGGUUUCAUCAUUUCGGCACGAGGCCAUUACAAUAUUGUUGGCCACUUUUAGACACCGAGAAAGUUAAUUCAAAUUACAAUUUGACCGUAUGCCGGUAUUUAUAUUUGUGGUAUAAACUGAAUAGACCGAGCGUGGAUGGAGCUUAGUUCUCGAGAUGAUGUCGAUGUCACGUAACCGUUCUUAAAACGAAUAUUUAUUCGUCAACAACUUUAUUAUCGCAACAGUACAGAAUCACUCGUAGGACUUUAUUUGUGUUCGGGUUCCAACUUGAUCGCCUGCAUGGCGA